RNAcentral lists this transfer RNA (74 nucleotides) under Candidatus Beckwithbacteria bacterium. Its description in RNAcentral is "tRNA-Arg". It matches the Rfam family "tRNA". From Rfam's summary of the family: Transfer RNA (tRNA) molecules are approximately 80 nucleotides in length. The record is from RNAcentral. Lineage: Bacteria; Candidatus Beckwithiibacteriota.
GCUCCCGUAGCUCAAUUGGAUAGAGCGUCUGUCUUCGGAACAGAAGGUUGUGUGUUCGAUUCACGCCGGGAGCA